This 2877-nucleotide long non-coding RNA is filed under the name Marmota monax (woodchuck). Lineage: Eukaryota; Metazoa; Chordata; Mammalia; Rodentia; Sciuridae. The record is from RNAcentral.
CCUCGUUUCAGGGGUGUCGCCCUUAGAGGGGGGAGACUCCUGAACCCUGGGUGUGGCCAUACCUUAUCUCGACACCUGAGUUCAAGGUGUCUUGUCGCUAAAGGGGGGAGUCCCCUGGAUCCUGUGUGCGGGCGAACCUGAUCUCGCCGUGUCACCCAGUUUCAGUGGUUUUGCCCCUAGAUGGGAAAGUGCCCUCGACCUUGUGUGCAGUGGUACCUGAUCUCCCCAUGGGCUCAAGUGGUCACGCCCCUAGAGGGGGGAGUCCCCUGGACCCUGGGUGCAGCUGUACCUGAUCUCCCCCCAGAACCAUGUUCAAGGGGGUCUCAUACCUAGGGGAAGGUGAUUUCUGGACCCUGGGUGCGGCCUUACCUGAUCUCCCCAGUUCACCUGGGUAUGAGUGAUCUCACCCCUAAAGAGGGAUACCCCUUCAUGGCGACGGGCUUGGAGAGAUCAAGUCUCUGACCUAUUCAGCUGUGCGGGCAUAGGGAGUUGUAAACUGUCUAAAUGCUGUUUGCUCAGGAUCACUAGGCAACGCUGAGCUGAGGUGGAUCUGGGGCGAACAGUCUGGGCCUCUCAGAACACACACCGAGCCAGGAUCGGCUGCAUUCAAGCUCCCUUUCACCUGCUUCUUGCAGCCAAAUUGCUGUGACUCAGCACUAACGACCCUGCUGAAACAACUGGUUGGCCCUUCUGAACUUACAGAGGUAAAAGCCAACCAAGCCUUCAUAGGCAGUGGCCACAGGAUUGAAACGGGGCUUGGGAGAGACACUCAGGACCAACCCGUUGCAUUGGUCACCCAGCAAAUGGAAAGAACUGUCACCAUUUGCAUGGCAUACCACCAUGGCAGAGAACUGACAUCACCAUAACGCGGCGGAGGAGAUAACUUCAUUGAAACCAGCGGCGACAGGUGUGUAAUCCCCUAGCCAUCCCUCUCCACACAGUGGGGAAACCUUAAGGGCCCCUCCUAGCUCUCCCGUGAGCGUGAUAGCCAGACUGAGGGAAUCAGGUGUGGCGCGGGACACGUGGCGCUGAACUCCCAGCUAUCGCUCCCACCAGUGCUGACAACUGAGGUAUCUUGCACCAGCUACCGAGGGCGUGGCUACUGGAGGGCAAGCAAAUUCGCUGGGGGAUCUCAGCCCCAAGCUCUACAAACUUAGGGUCUGAGGGAAUGGCAAACAGGGAGAGUGCCCAGGCGUUCAUGAAAACAGGGCUCCCAGGAGCAGCAGACCUGGCGUGUAGGCAGUAUUGUGGUGAGCGUCACUGGUGAGCGGGGCCUGGCAUGAGGAAAAGUGGGGAAGUGACUAGACACAAGAGAAGGCCCCAGGCACUCAGGAUUGGAGACUCGCCCAGUCUGGGAGGAAGAGCUGCUGCACAGUGAUUGGUUCCUGCCUAUUGAGAGGAGAAGCUUGGCCCAGUGGGCACAGCUCCACCUACUGGAAUAGAAGUUAAUCAAACUCUAAGACUGCAUUUAUUAAUUUUUUUUUUUUUAAUUUGGGUUACAGAAGACAUAAAGGAGGAAAUCAAAAAAUUCUUAGAGAUAAAUGAAAAUACAGACACAACAUAUCGGAAUCUAUGGGACACAAUGAAAGCAGUUUUAAGAGGGAAAUUCAUCUACUGGAGAUCAUUCCUCAAAAAAAGGAAAAACCAACAAAUAAAUGAGCUCACACUUCAUCUCAAAGCCCUAGAAAAGGAAGAGCAAAACAACAGCAAAUAUAGCAGAAGGCAAGAAAUAAUUAAAAUCAGAGCGGAAAUCAAUGAAAUUGAAACAAAAGAAACUAUUGAAAAAAUUAACAAAACUAAAAGUUGGUUCUUUGAGGAGGACAUUCAAUCAAUCAAUAAGUACAUGAAAAAAUGUUCACCAUCUCUAGCAGUCAGAGAAAUGCAAAUCAAAACCACCCUAAGAUACCGUAUCACUCCAGUAAGAUUGGCAGCCAUUAUGAAGUCAAACAACAACAAGUGCUGGAGAAGAUGUGGGGAAAAGGGUACUCUUGUACAUUGCUGAUGGGACUGCAAACUGGUGCGACCAAUUUGGAAAGCAGUAUGGAGAUUCCUGGGAAAGCUGGAAAUGGAACCACCAUUUGACCCAGCUAUUGCCCUUCUCGGACUAUUCCCUGAAGACCUUAAAAGAGCGUACUACAGGGAUACUGUCACAUCGAUGUUCAUAGCAGCACAAUUCACAAUUGCUAGACUGUGGAACUAACCCAGAUGCCCUUCAAUAGAUGAAUGGAUAAAAAAAAUGUGGCAUUUAUACACCAUGGAGUAUUACGCUGCACUAAAAAAUGACGAAAUCAUGGAAUUUGCAGGGAAAUGGAUGGCACUAGAGAAGAUUAUGCUUAGUGAAGCUAGCCAAUCCCUAAAAAACAAAUACCAAAUGUCUUCUUUGAUAUAAUGAGAGCAAUUAAGAACAGAGCAGGGAGGAAGAGCAGGAAGAAAAGAUUAACUUUAAACAGAUACAUGAGGUGGGAGGGAAAGGGAGAGAAAAUUGCAUGGUAAUGGAGGGAGACCCGCAUGGUUAUACAAAAUUACAUAUAAGAGGUUGUGAGGGGAAUGGGAAAAUAAACAUGGAGAUAAAUGAAUUACAGUAAAUGGGGUAGAAAGAGAAGAUGGGAGGGGAGGGGAGGGGGGAUAGUAGAGGAUAGGAAAGGCAGCAGAAUACAACAGUUACUAAUAGGGCAUUAUGUACAAAUGUGGAUGUGUAAACGAUGUGAUUCUGCAAUCUGUAUUUGGGGAAAAAUUGGGAGUUCAUUACCAACUUGAAUCUAAUGUAUGAAGUAUGAUAUGUCAAGAGCUUUGUAAUGUUUUGAACAACCAAUAAAAAAAAAAAAAUGAUAUCCAUCACCCAGCUUUAAUACACCUUAACAUUUUGCCAUUUGUUUC